AUACAGAGGGUGCGAGCGUUAAUCGGAAUUACUGGGCGUAAAGCGCGCGUAGGCGGCUUAUUAAGUCAGAUGAGAAAUCCCCGGGCUCAACCUGGGAACUGCAUCUGAUACUGGUAAGCUAGAGUUUUGGAGAGGGAAGUAGAAUUUCAGGUGUAGCGGUGAAAUGCAUAGAGAUCUGAAGGAAUACCAGUGGCGAAGGCGGCUUCCUGGCCUAAAACUGACGCUGAGGUGCGAAAGCGUGGGUAGCAAACGGGAUUAGAAACCCCGGUAGUCC
RNAcentral lists this ribosomal RNA (274 nucleotides) under uncultured bacterium. RNAcentral's name for it is "partial 16S ribosomal RNA". It matches the Rfam family "Bacterial small subunit ribosomal RNA", at positions 523 to 796 of the family's 1533-position model. The record is from RNAcentral.